GGAAGGACGUAACAGCAGGGGGGUUGUAGAGAGAUACAGAGGUUAUUGGUUCCUCUGUGUCUCCUGAAGCUUCUUUAGUAAUCCAUAGUCCACUCCUUCGAGUCGGAUACUCUUCUUCCUGUCGAAUUGUCCUAAAGCCGAUGUCUGUUGUGGUACUGGUGUUUGCAUUUCGAUGUCGUUUGCAGUUUGUUGUUUUCCGUUCAGAUGAAGCAGUAAUGAGCUUUCAGGAAUUUUAGGAGGAUUACAAUAGUCAGGAUUCCAGCAGAGACUGAUCCGAAAGCGAUGAAGUGUUUCCAGGCAUUCUCGAUGGUAUGCUGGACCAUGUGGUUCAAUGUUUGUUCAUCUAGUAAGUUUCUGAAUUCAAACUGGGGGUGAGGUACGGUGUUGCCAGCUGCCAGUUCUUGCAAGCUGUAGAUCCCUGCUGUGCUGAGGUGCUCAGAUGAUCUGUACUCCCAGGUUGGGUUCGUGUCUGGGUUAAGGAUCUGCGGUGUAGGAGCCAAUGUUAGUCGAGGAUUUAGGAAAUACCAGUUGUUAUCUAUUUUAUAUCCAACCGGAAGGAGAGGGUUACAGAAAAAUGAGGAGCUAUGUCUCAUAAGAAUUUUUGAAUUUUUGGUUAGGAAAUAGGUUUUGGUAUAUGACCGGAGCUUCUUUGUAACAUUCCAGUUCGGCUCUGUUGGCAAGUUUGACCUGGACCGGAGUACAUUUUACAAGAUGGACUAAUUCUCCGGCUAUCGUGGCGUGGUACCCAGGCCCCUUCAUUAUCCUGUACGCAAAUUCAUCAGGGGCUACUUCGGCUAGGCUGAGGAUGUUCUGGAGGACCUUUCUCUCUAGUUCGCAGCGAUGUCGUAAGGUCUACUGGAGCGUCAUAUUGCAUGUAGCUGAUUCGUACCAGGGCUUCGACGACGACGUUGGGCCAGGAUCCGUCCUGGUCAUUUUAGUCAACCCCCUUGCAUGUUCCGUCUACACUCAACUUCUCGGCGUUUACAGGACUUCUAAGAUGGUGUAUGGCCCGGUAUAUUGAUUGGCGAAUUUAUUUAACUUAGUGUGUGGCAAUUUUUCAGCAUCUUUAGGCGAGUUGCCUGUGUGCUGCUCGAGUUAUCUACUUUGAAUGGGUCGUGCUCUAUUUUGAUAGACAUCCAGGGACAGGUUAAAAUGCGUACUGUAGGAAUUGGUACUAUGACAGGUUCUUGGUUUCGACUUAUAACCCUUAUAAAAGUUUUUCCCUCUAUGUUGAGGCUUAUAUUUCCCCCAGCAAUAAUUUUGUUUCCCAGUCUUAUUUCAGGUACAAAGCCGGUUUCUUGGGAGUUUUUGUCUACUCGUACAGGGAGAGCAGUGACUGAGCCAGGAGAAAUUGUUUUAGUCUGAGAAUUCGGAUCCAAGGACUCCAGCGUACGCUAUGGGAAAUUCUUCCGAAACUAUAUGGAAAGGGCUUGGGUGUCCUUGUACUCUGAUGGUAAUGAGUCCCAGAGUGUCGACCCCUGUGUUGGUGAUACCAUGUAACCAGUCAGCUAGAAAUUCUUUAUCCGGUUGUCGUCGUUGCUGGUUCAUCACUUCGAGCGGACGAAGAGUUUCCAAGGCUGUCGUGUGUCAUAUUUUGCCAUAGUU
Molecule: long non-coding RNA, 1605 nt
Organism: Fopius arisanus
Lineage: Eukaryota; Metazoa; Arthropoda; Insecta; Hymenoptera; Braconidae
Exons: 9
Source: RefSeq, a predicted model, not a curated record